AUUGAACGCUGGCGGAAUGCUUUACACAUGCAAGUCGAACGAUGAACCUUAGCUUGCUAAGGGGAUUAGUGGCGAACGGGUGAGUAAUAUAUCGGAACGUACCUUGUAAUGGGGGAUAACUAGUCGAAAGAUUAGCUAAUACCGCAUACGCCCUGAGGGGGAAAGUAGGGGAUCUUCGGACCUUACGUUAUAAGAGCGGCCGAUAUCUGAUUAGCUAGUUGGUGGGGUAAUGGCCUACCAAGGCGACGAUCAGUAGCUGGUCUGAGAGGACGACCAGCCACACUGGAACUGAGACACGGUCCAGACUCCUACGGGAGGCAGCAGUGGGGAAUUUUGGACAAUGGGCGCAAGCCUGAUCCAGCCAUUCCGCGUGAGUGAAGAAGGCCUUCGGGUUGUAAAGCUCUUUCGCAAGGGGAGAAAACUUACAUUCUAAUAAAGUGUGAGGCUGACGGUACCUUGAUAAGAAGCACCGGCUAACUACGUGCCAGCAGCCGCCGCAG
This 500-nucleotide ribosomal RNA is filed under the name uncultured bacterium. RNAcentral describes it as "partial 16S ribosomal RNA". It matches the Rfam family "Bacterial small subunit ribosomal RNA", at positions 30 to 523 of the family's 1533-position model. The record is from RNAcentral.